This 252-nucleotide ribosomal RNA is filed under the name uncultured bacterium. RNAcentral's name for it is "partial 16S ribosomal RNA". It matches the Rfam family "Bacterial small subunit ribosomal RNA", at positions 524 to 776 of the family's 1533-position model. The record is from RNAcentral.
UACGGAGGAUGCGAGCGUUAUCCGGAUUUAUUGGGUUUAGAGGGUGCGUAGGCGGAUCGUUAAGUCAGUGGUCAAAUUGAGGGGCUCAACCCCUUCCCGCCAUUGAAACUGGCGAUCUUGAGUGGAAGAGAAGUAUGCGGAAUGCGUGGUGUAGCGGUGAAAUGCAUAGAUAUCACGCAGAACCCCGAUUGCGAAGGCAGCAUGCCGGCUUCCGACUGACGCUGAAGCACGAAAGCGUGGGGAUCGAACAGG